Molecule: ribosomal RNA, 375 nt
Filed under: uncultured organism
Description: partial 16S ribosomal RNA
Rfam family: Bacterial small subunit ribosomal RNA
Source: RNAcentral
GGAGGGGGCUAGCGUUGUUCGGAUUUACUGGGCGUAAAGGGCGCGUAGGCGGUAUGCCAUGUCAGGGGUGAAAGGCCUGGGCUCAACCCAGGAACUGCCUUUGAAACUGGCAAACUAGAGUCCGAUAGAGGAUGGCGGAAUUCCCAGUGUAGAGGUGAAAUUCGUAGAUAUUGGGAAGAACACCAGUGGCGAAGGCGGCCAUCUGGAUCGGCACUGACGCUGAGGCGCGAAAGCGUGGGGAGCAAACAGGGAUUAGAUACCCUGGUAGUCCACGCCGUAAACGAUGUGUGCUAGACGUUGGGGGGGCCUUAGGCCCCGUGAGUGUCGCAGCUAACGCGUUAAGCACACCGCCUGGGGAGUACGGCCGCAAGGUUA